AUCCUGGCUCAGGAUGAACGCUGGCGGCGUGCCUAAUACAUGCAAGUCGAGCGCGUCNNAUUAAAACAGAUCUCUUCGGAGUGACGUUUAAUGGAUCGAGCGGCGGAUGGGUGAGUAACACGUGGCCAACCUGCCUAUAAGACUGGGAUAACUUACGGAAACGUGAGCUAAUACCGGAUAAAACCUUUUGUCUCCUGACAAGAGGAUAAAAGAUGGCGCAAGCUAUCACUUAUAGAUGGGCCCGCGGCGCAUUAGCUAGUUGGUGAGAUAAAAGCUCACCAAGCCAACGAUGCGUAGCCGACCUGAGAGGGUGAUCGGCCACACUGGGACUGAGAUACGGCCCAGACUCCUACGGGAGGCAGCAGUAGGGAAUCUUCCGCAAUGGACGAAAGUCUGACGGAGCAACGCCGCGUGAACGAAGAAGGUCUUCGGAUCGUAAAGUUCUGUUGUUAGGGAAGAACACGUACCAUUCGAAUAGGGUGGUACCUUGACGGUACCUAACGAGAAAGCCCCGGCUAACUACGUGCCAGCAGCCGCGGUAAUACGUAGGGGGCAAGCGUUGUCCGGAAUUAUUGGGCGUAAAGCGCGCGCAGGCGGUUCUUUAAGUCUGAUGUGAAAUCUUGCGGCUCAACCGCAAGCGGUCAUUGGAAACUGGAGAACUUGAGGACAGAAGAGGAGAGUGGAAUUCCACGUGUAGCGGUGAAAUGCGUAGAGAUGUGGAGGAACACCAGUGGCGAAGGCGACUCUCUGGUCUGUAACUGACGCUGAGGCGCGAAAGCGUGGGUAGCGAACAGGAUUAGAUACCCUGGUAGUCCACGCCGUAAACGAUGAGUGCUAGGUGUUAGGGGGUUUCCCCCCCUUAGUGCUGGCGUUAACGCAUUAAGCACUCCNCCUGGGGAGUACGGCCGCAAGGCUGAAACUCAAAAGAAUUGACGGGGACCCGCACAAGCGGUGGAGCAUGUGGUUUAAUUCGAAGCAACGCGAAGAACCUUACCAGGUCUUGACAUCCCGCUGACCGCUAUGGAGACAUAGCUUUCCCUUCGGGGACAGCGGUGACAGGUGGUGCAUGGUUGUCGUCAGCUCGUGUCGUGAGAUGUUGGGUUAAGUCCCGCAACGAGCGCAACCCUUGAACUUAGUUGCCAGCAUUCAGUUGGGCACUCUAAGUUGACUGCCGGUGACAAACCGGAGGAAGGUUGGGAUGACGUCAAAUCAUCAUGCCCCUUAUGACCUGGGCUACACACGUGCUACAAUGGNUUGGUAGUUCGGAUUGUCGGUUGCAACUCGCCUACAUGAAGCCGGAAUCGCUAGUAAUCGCGGAUCAGAAUGCCGCGGUGAAUACGUUCCCGGGUCUUGUACACACCGUCCGUCACACCACGAGAGUUAGCAACACCCGAAGUCGGUGAGGUAACGCUUUUAGNGAGCCAGCCGCCGAAGGUGGGGCCAAUGAUUGGGGUGAAGUCGUAACAAGGUAGCCGUAUCGGAAGGUGCGGNUGGAUCACCUCCUU
This 1505-nucleotide ribosomal RNA is filed under the name Amphibacillus xylanus. RNAcentral describes it as "bacterial SSU rRNA". It matches the Rfam family "Bacterial small subunit ribosomal RNA". The record is from RNAcentral. Lineage: Bacteria; Bacillati; Bacillota; Bacilli; Caryophanales; Bacillaceae. RNAcentral also lists the same sequence under 1 other name.